Molecule: ribosomal RNA, 274 nt
Filed under: uncultured bacterium
Lineage: Bacteria
Description: partial 16S ribosomal RNA
Rfam family: Bacterial small subunit ribosomal RNA
Source: RNAcentral
AUACGGAGGGUGCAAGCGUUACUCGGAAUCACUGGGCGUAAAGCGCGCGCAGGCGGGUUGGCAAGUCAGAUGUGAAAUCCUACAGCUUAACUGUAGAACUGCAUUUGAAACUGCUAACCUAGAGUAUGGGAGGGGGAGAUGGAAUUAGUGGUGUAGGGGUAAAAUCCGUAGAUAUCACUAGGAAUACCGAAAGCGAAGGCGAUCUCCUGGAACAUAACUGACGCUAAGGCGUGAAAGCGUGGGGAGCAAACAGGAUUAGAUACCCCAGUAGUCC